Molecule: small nucleolar RNA, 91 nt
Filed under: Castor canadensis (American beaver)
Lineage: Eukaryota; Metazoa; Chordata; Mammalia; Rodentia; Castoridae
Description: Small nucleolar SNORD12/SNORD106 (ENSCCNG00000012968.1)
Rfam family: Small nucleolar SNORD12/SNORD106
About the family: This family belong to the C/D class of snoRNA which contain the C (UGAUGA) and D (CUGA) box motifs.
Source: Rfam by way of RNAcentral
GCUGGUGUAAAUGAUGACCUCACUUUUUUCCCCAUCAGAUCGACAAUGCUGAUCUCUUAGAACAAUUGCCAGUUAGUCCUGAUACACCAGC